AGAGUUUGAUCCUGGCUCAGGAUGAACGCUAGCGGCAGGCUUAAUACAUGCAAGUCGAGGGGCAGCGCGGGUAGCAAUACCUGGCGGCGACCGGCAAACGGGUGCGGAACACGUACGCAACCUUCCCAAAACUGGUGAAUAGCCCUCCGAAAGGAGGAUUAAUACACCGUAACAUAACGAAGAGGCAUCUCUUUGUUAUU
RNAcentral lists this ribosomal RNA (200 nucleotides) under uncultured bacterium. Its description in RNAcentral is "partial 16S ribosomal RNA". It matches the Rfam family "Bacterial small subunit ribosomal RNA", at positions 8 to 202 of the family's 1533-position model. The record is from RNAcentral.